RNAcentral lists this ribosomal RNA (253 nucleotides) under uncultured prokaryote. Its description in RNAcentral is "partial 16S ribosomal RNA". It matches the Rfam family "Bacterial small subunit ribosomal RNA", at positions 525 to 777 of the family's 1533-position model. The record is from RNAcentral.
ACGUAGGGCGCAAGCGUUGUCCGGAAUUAUUGGGCGUAAAGAGCUCGUAGGCGGUUUGUCGCGUCUGCUGUGAAAGCCCGGGGCUCAACCCCGGGUCUGCAGUGGGUACGGGCAGACUGGAGUGCAGUAGGGGAGACUGGAAUUCCUGGUGUAGCGGUGAAAUGCGUAGAUAUCGAGAGGAACACCUGAGGUGAAGACGGGUUGCUGGGCCGACACUGACGCUGAGGCGCGAAAGCCAGGGUAGCAAACGGGA